CCUUUUCUUGUAACUCUUCUAUUUCAAUCCUUCUCUUCCUUGCCCUAACCUGCUGCAAAUAUUCUUCCCAUAAACCCUUAGGGUAUUUUGCAUUUGGAUCAACCACAAAACCUAUGCGAUCUCUCUCCUCCCUCAACCUUUGUUUCUCCAACUCCCUCUCCUCCUGCAACUUCCUCCUAUUUUAUCUCUUCUCAUCUUCAGUUAGAGGUCAUGGAUACUUGGUUCUGUUCUGCCUCCAAUACUUAAUAAUAUUUUCCUUUGCAUAAAAUCCUUUAGGCUUCACUC
RNAcentral lists this long non-coding RNA (285 nucleotides) under Setaria viridis. RNAcentral's name for it is "long non-coding RNA (SVIR_LNC003484)". Lineage: Eukaryota; Viridiplantae; Streptophyta; Magnoliopsida; Poales; Poaceae. The record is from RNAcentral.